GAAAUGAGGCCAUUUGAUUUGCUAAGUGUGAAGUCCUCAAUUAUGUGUUGCGUAUGAUGGCCUAUGGGCAUGUUGUGUAUGAGUUAUCUAUCUUGUGUUACUUUAUGCUAUUGUGUGCUGGGGGUAUGUAUGCCCGAAAUAGUCUGCUGGUCUAGAGCCGAGUCAGUUUCACGGUAAUCUCAAUCGAGCGAUGAACAAUGAACUCCCA
This 208-nucleotide long non-coding RNA is filed under the name Capsicum annuum. Its description in RNAcentral is "long non-coding RNA (CANN_LNC003215)". The record is from RNAcentral. Lineage: Eukaryota; Viridiplantae; Streptophyta; Magnoliopsida; Solanales; Solanaceae.